RNAcentral lists this long non-coding RNA (1833 nucleotides) under Mus musculus (house mouse). Its description in RNAcentral is "long non-coding RNA chr15:100102338-100104171". The record is from RNAcentral. Lineage: Eukaryota; Metazoa; Chordata; Mammalia; Rodentia; Muridae.
AGCGGAAGUGCAUCUUUGUGUGCGCGUGGAGUAAAUGUGUGGAGCUAGACCUUUAUGGUGGCCUUUAAAAGAAGUUAUCUUAGGCCAGGUGGGGGCCCAAGCAUUUAAUCCCAAUAGAGGCAGGUAGAUCUCUAUGAGGUUGAGGCCAACCUGGUCUACAUAGUGAGUUCCAGAACAGCCAGGGCUGUGUUGAAACUUCCACCCCACUUCAAAAAAAAAUUUUUUUUAGCUUACUACCUGGAUUGGUUGUUGCCAUUCAUAUAUGAACUAUGUGACCACUUCAUUGAAGUUUUCUUAGUAGAACUGAGAUGGACCCUGGGCCCUGUGUGUGCUGGGCAGGCGUUCCAACCAUGAGCUUUAUCGCCAGCCCUUGCUUUAUUGUCUGUAAUGUGAUCAAGUUUUACAAAUGUUCUCUUGUUUUAAAAUAAUGAAUUAAGCUCCUCGGAGUGAUUUUCCCAGCUCACCAAAGGGCAGAGCUGGGCAGCAUCAUUGUAGGGCACAGCAAUGAGACUUGCUUCAUGUGGUGAUCCAAGUGUGUGCCCUCCCACUGCUGUGCCUGUGUCAGGCUGAGGCUGUCUUGAGCAGCUGUGAUUUGACUGACUGUGUUUAGGUAUAGUGAGGGUUUUUGUAAUUUGAUUUUUUUAUAAUUUAUUCACUUAAAGGAUAUAAUUCAUUAUAACCUUAUAGUAUUGAUUAACCAGAACUGAAUGUUACUAGAGAGAUCCCCUCCCUCCUUCCCUCUCUCGCCCUCCUUUCCUUCCUUCUUUCCUUCCUCUUCUUUAUGAGUGAGUGUUUUGCAUGCAUGUGUGUGAGUGCACCCCAGUGCCUGUGAAGAUCUGGAGAGGACGUUGGCUCUCCUGGAAGUGGAGUUUACAAAGUAUUGUGAUCUACCACAUAUGUGCUGGGAAUUAAACUUGGGUCCUCUGGAAGAACAACAAGUGCUCUUAACUGUUAAGCCAUCUCUCUAGCCCUUAGAGAAGUUUUCAGCGACACCAAGGAGACUCUAUUCCUCUUACUCUCUACCCCUGGCAGCCCUAGUUUAUUUUCUGUCCCUGAGAAUUUGCUGUAUUCUGGACGUUAAUGGCACCAUGCAACAUGCAGUCUUUUAUAAAUGUACUCCCCCUUUCCCUUCUCUUCCUCUUCCUUCUCCUCUUUCUCAUCCUCUUCUUCUCACCCCCCCCCCCCACUCCUUUUUCUUUCCAAGACAGGUUUUCAUUUGUGUAGCCCUAGCCCUGGAGCUUACUUUGUAAACUAGGCUGGACUUGAACUCACAGAGAUCUGCUUGCCUCAGCCUCCCAAGUGCUGGGAUUAAAGGUGUGCGCCACUGUCUUACAUUUCCCACUGUAUUGAUGCACCACAUGUUGUUUUGUCCUCUCAGCAGCCGAUGGGCAUUUGGAUGCUUCCACCUUUGUAUUUACAGAUGUCAUUUCUAGACACGCAGGUAUAAAUCUUAGUGUGACUGUUUCUUAUCCGAGGAGGUGUUUUAACGUAAGCAUCAUUCACUGACGGAGGGGAUACGACCCACAGCAGAAUGCUUUCAUUUGUAGUUUUUGGUGUUUGUUAGUGAGAAGAGGGUGGCCAAAGUUAAUUAUUGAACUUGUGUUAAUCACUCCUAUGGUAGCUUUUGUUGUUGUUGUUUUUCCGAGACAGGGUUUCUCUGUAUAGCUCUGGCUGUCCUGGGACUCAGAAAUCCGCCUGCCUCUGUCUCCGGAGUGCUGGGAUUAAAGGCGUGCGCCACCACGCCUGGCCUAUGGGAGCUUUUUACAUGUGAGCUCACUUACUGGUGUUAAUAGUUGUGAGACACGUAAAGGUUCCCUUUCCAGAAACAAAAUU